Molecule: long non-coding RNA, 2051 nt
Organism: Neofelis nebulosa (Clouded leopard)
Lineage: Eukaryota; Metazoa; Chordata; Mammalia; Carnivora; Felidae
Exons: 4
Source: RefSeq, a predicted model, not a curated record
AUUCACCCAGCCACAUUUAACAGCUUCUGCUGCUGUGUGUCAGGCAUUCUGCUAGUUGCUGGCAUAGAGUGAUGGAGAAAGUAAACAUAGUGCCUGGUCUCAGGGGCUCCCAGACCAGCAGGGCAGGCUGACAGAUACACAUUUGCUCACACCUGACUACUACGCAGGGGCAACAUGCAGAGGCCCAUGAAGGAGGCGUUGGGCUGGAGCUGGGGCUCCGGGUGUGACUUGGCCCCUGCCUUUUGUCCGGACUGGAUGACUCAGGGCAGCCAGGCCGGAGAAGCAGAAGGAAGCAAGGAGACUGAUGGAGGAAAUGCUUCAGAGAAGAGGAAAUAUGCAGAAUGUCCCUUUUUCAUCCCACGUGGCUCAGGCCUAAUGACAAAAGCACGUCACCUACAGAUGUUCCUGAAUGGCACCGGGGCCCUUGGGCUUAGGAGAUUCAAGAUUCCAGCCAAGAGGCCCUAUCUGUAGGAGAAGGAGAGAAAGAGUGCAAGCGGGGAAUAGGGGCAGAGGAAGAGAGAAUCUUAAGCAGAUUCCAUGCUCAGCAUGGAGCCAGACUUGGGGCUUGAUCCCACAACCCUGGAAUCAUGAUCUGAGCCAAAAUCAAGAGUCAGGUGCUCAACCAACUGAGCCACCCAGGCGCCACACAAUCAUGACUUUUAAACCCUGGUUUUGUUUGAGGCAAAUGUAAGCUAUGAGCUUUUGUGCACAUGGGCACCAGAAGGGCAUUGUUAGUGUUUGAAAACUGGUGCCUGGGGCCCUUCACAAGUCAUUCUGUGGCUUUGGAAGGCUGUAAAACAAAAUGGGGCUCCCCGAACAUGAGUGACCUCAAAACAACUCCUGGGAACCUCUCCUUAAACCCCUAACCUUCCUUAACAGACUUCUCUGCAUCCAAGAAACUGUGAAUUUCCUGACAAGGAAAGAAGGCUCACUCUUGCCUUCUGAGAGUGGAUAUUUACUAGUAAGACAUGGGCCACCUCAUAUUUGGUACAAUUACCUGGGAACAUGUAAAGUUCCAUCCCAAGUCUGUUAUUUUAGAGAUGGCCUUUGAACACUGAAGAAUUCCACUGGCUUUGGAUCAUUUUAUGUUUCACCUCCCAGGGGAAACUGUCAAUAAUUUACAUUGCACAGCAUUGGGUUAUCUAAUAACUCUGAAUUUUCUGCUCUAAGAGAGGGGAAUAGGAAAGUGGCUCUUUGUUUUUUAAGGGGGGAAAAAAAACAUCACUGCUCUUCCUGGUUGAGGUGGUAGGGGUGCUAGAGGCUGGCCCUGGCCGGGCUCCAGAGGAGCCUUCCUGAGGAUUCUUAGGUAGAAAGGAGAUUGGAGAGAGGGGUGUUUGGGAGAGCUGGCCUGGGAUGUAGAGGUGCUGGAAUUCUCCCUCUCCUGAGGGAAUCAUUCCCUGUAAAGUGCCAGGUAGAGUGAAGAAGAGAGAAUCCACUGACGGCCGAGGGACUGAUCCUUCACCCCUUCCUAAUGGCAGUUCCUGAAGGGAUGGUGUUUGUUUGCCUUUAAAAAGGAACUGGAAAUGCUUUCAGCAUUUUGAGUGACUCAUACCAGUCUGGUAUAUUUGUAAAUAUCAUUCCUUGGACUGAUUUAAACAGGAAGCCUGGGAAGUCUGUUUCCCCAACACAUUGCACUAGUGGUUGGAUUCUGCUUCUGGGGAAAAGCAAAAGAUACACUGAUUUCCAAUUUCAUUCGAGGUGGAACCCCCAAGCCAUCCGUGUUGGCCAUGAAGGAGGCGCCCUGCUUAACUGCGGUGAAUUACAAAAGAGAAUUCUGUCCUACAGGUGGAAAACCACUGCCUCUGUGCAGCCCCCUUCUUUAAUUGUAACAUCCCUCUGCUCCCAUCCCAUAAUGCUUGGGCCAUUUUUAAACCUCAGGGUGCUCCUAGAUCCUUUCUUGCUGCCCAAGUGAAAUGUGAGAAAAUGUGUUCAAAGCCACAAUUAUAAACGCCCCAAAAGAAGGUGUGCGGCCUUAUGUUGCUUUCUUACCUUUCCUGUAAGGCUUGCCCUAUUGAUCUGCUUUGUGUAUACCAGACACGAGCUAUUCCUGU